GUCAGUGUCAUUUUUGUGAUUUGCAGCUAGUAGUCUGGGUCCAGUUGCAUAGUCACAAAAAUGAUCAUUGGC
This 72-nucleotide microRNA precursor is filed under the name Megalops atlanticus (tarpon). RNAcentral's name for it is "mir-153 microRNA precursor family". It matches the Rfam family "mir-153 microRNA precursor family". RNAcentral also lists the same sequence under 5 other names. The record is from Rfam by way of RNAcentral. Lineage: Eukaryota; Metazoa; Chordata; Actinopteri; Elopiformes; Megalopidae.